UACGUAGGGGGCAAGCGUUGUCCGGAUUUAUUGGGCGUAAAGGGCUCGUAGGCGGUCUGUUGCGUCAGGAGUGAAAACUCGGGGCUUAACCCCGAGCCUGCUUCUGAUACGGGCAGACUAGAGGUAUGCAGGGGAGAACGGAAUUCCUGGUGUAGCGGUGAAAUGCGCAGAUAUCAGGAGGAACACCGGUGGCGAAGGCGGUUCUCUGGGCCUGUACUGACGCUGAGGAACGAAAGCGUGGGGAGCGAACAGG
This 253-nucleotide ribosomal RNA is filed under the name uncultured bacterium. Its description in RNAcentral is "partial 16S ribosomal RNA". It matches the Rfam family "Bacterial small subunit ribosomal RNA", at positions 524 to 776 of the family's 1533-position model. The record is from RNAcentral.